RNAcentral lists this long non-coding RNA (666 nucleotides) under Pongo abelii (Sumatran orangutan). Its description in RNAcentral is "lincRNA". Lineage: Eukaryota; Metazoa; Chordata; Mammalia; Primates; Hominidae. The record is from RNAcentral.
CAACUUUGCUAUCUUAGAACGGAUCACCAGUGAAAGAGGGGAAGUUGCUACUGUGAUGAAUUCUGCCAUGUGGUACCAGACUGCUGCCCAGACCACAGUGUCCUCUGCAACCCUGGUAACUCACAUACAGGCCUGAUUCCACCUACAGCAAAGCUGGAUGCUAUGGUUGGCAGAGGCAAGCCCCUUGCCUGCACUUCAGGCCAAAGCCGGGAUGUGGCCUAGAUGGUUCCUAAGGUCCCUGACAGUCCUGAGAUCUUUCAUCUUGUCUAUUUCAGGUCAAAGCUUCUCAGAUGACCAAGAUGGUGCUGCCGAUGGUGUUGAGGACGGAGAACCCACCAAGCCCCGUUAGGAGCCACCUAGACUGGAUGCAGAGCACAGUGAAAAUGGAGGUUCCCUCCUCCUGAGGCUGAGUGUGGCUUCCCUGGAAGACCUCACUGACCCCAGAGUGGCAGAAAGGCUGAUGCAGCAGCUCCACCAGGAACUCCACGCCCAUGCGCCUCACUUCCAGGUCUCCUUACUGCACGUCAGGAGAGGCUAACAGACAUCAGCUGCAGCCAGGCAUGUCCCGUACGCCCAAAGAGAGUGCUGCCCCUGGCCUGGGCCCCCACCGACAGACUGCAGCUGCGUUACUGUGCUGAGAGGUACCCAGAAGGUUCCCAUGAAGGG